UCUUCCGAGCUUUCCGGAGUCCUGGGCUCGCUGCGGAGCCUUUUUCUGGCUGCGGGCAGUCCCGGAUUUCAGUGACCUGUAUGCCCAAGGGGACGUGGGGGAGACCCCCCUUGGCCAGUUUCGGAGCUGUGGAGGGGUCCACCCACCUGACUGACAGAUAGGACGGGUAAGAUGUUCACCUCAGCAGAAAUCCCAGAGAAGACGCAAGACGAGUGCGGAUCGCCCCCCGCAGGUCCUCACGCCUCAGACCAGAUCAGCAGCGGAGGCGGCGACGGCAGUAGCUGAAGGAGCAGCAACACAGAGUUGCCCAGGGAUGGAAUGAAGCAUAUAUGAGCCAAAUCAGAACCAGAAGUGCAAAAGAUAACUCAUCUUGCUUUCGGUACAACACAGUGGUAUCCCUCACCUAGGAAUCGUCUUGGAAGGGGUGGAUGAAGAGGCAGUCCUGUAUCACCCUUGUGCUAUUCCAGGCUUCCUUCACUCCUAAUUCUGCACAGCUGCUCCUAUUCCUACCAUGGUUUUGACUCCAUUCAACCAACUCCUCCAUUUUUGGGAAGAUGAAUGACUCAUGGACAGAUCAUUUUAUUUUGUUUAAAGUGAAUAAUAAUGGAAAAAAGAGUAACAGCUAAUAAAUAAACUGAAACUCUUCAAAGGGAAAAAUACUACUGUUGGCUAAGAACAAAUUCCAAAAAAGCUGACGGAGAAGAAGGAACUACCUGAGUAGAAAGUGAAUUAAGGCCUUAAUUUAAGUGGCCCACCUACUUUCUCCAUGUCCUCCAAUGAAGUAAAAAGGAUUUCCUUCUUGGUCCCCAGCAGUAAAGGGGAAAAAGGUACUAACAGGAAGUAGCAGUAAAGGUAACUGUUAUCUUCUGAAUCUUGCCUGAGCACACAAGAAAGGCCUAAGCUGUCUCCAAUCUGAACUGACAGUCUCCGCCUCAGGGAAUCUGUCUCCAGAAGAUUGUGGCUGUGAUAGUGCUGUAAUUGGCAAUGGCUCCAGUGGAGGCAGUGAGUCCUUGUAGUUAUACAUUUGUGCUUCUACUUCCAUCAGACUGACUCAGAAGUCUUAUCUUGACCAAAUGAAACCGAUUGGUUUCCCUACUUAUGGCAAGUAUUUUGACAGGAACAAAGAACUGAAAAUAAAGCACAUACUCAUAAAUUAAAGAAUGGCUCAACACAUUUUAGUAUGUGAAUGAAUGGAAUAUUACUGAACUGUAAGCAAUGCUCAAUAUAAAAUGUAUAGAGAAACCUGAACUGCUGCAAAGUGAAAUAAGCAGAACAAGAAAAGUGUUGAGGUGGGCAGAAAAAGACCUGUAUUGUCACAGAUUUUCAGAAUUAUCAUAUCAUGUCUAGAAGAAUACUGCAUGUUGAAGUAACAGACAUUAAUGAAGCACCCGAAAGUCCUGUCUUCAAAUUGUCCAGGGAAGGAUGUGUUUAUUAGGAUCUAAAUAUGGAAAUCAUGAAUUCAAGUGAAAGCCCUGUCUUUGGAACAAAGAUUCAGAUGUUUGAUAAACAAGAGCAGUGCAAGAAUCUGGACUUCUGGCC
Molecule: long non-coding RNA, 1539 nt
Organism: Dromiciops gliroides (monito del monte)
Lineage: Eukaryota; Metazoa; Chordata; Mammalia; Microbiotheria; Microbiotheriidae
Exons: 11
Source: RefSeq, a predicted model, not a curated record